Molecule: long non-coding RNA, 28152 nt
Filed under: Populus tremula
Lineage: Eukaryota; Viridiplantae; Streptophyta; Magnoliopsida; Malpighiales; Salicaceae
Description: long non-coding RNA (PTRE_LNC003269)
Source: RNAcentral
UUUUGUUUAACCUACGCAGCGAGUAUACAUAAUGGCUAAAUGAGCUAAUCUACAACGAAUUCCUCGUUAAAUUACUCUCUGUAACUGACAGAGGGCUAAAAAAUGGCAUUCUUCAUAUAUAAACCAGUAAAAAAAAUAAAAAUCUAAGACGACUAUGAAACCUCUGGUUAGACAAUCAAUGACGGACCGGGGAGACGCUCUCCCCUUUGGAGAUGAAACAACAGCUGCCUGUUGGAAGUGAUGACAUAGCCAGAAGAUUGCUUAACUGCAAUUCCAUUCUGAGGUUUGGUGUUCAAAGAAAAGAAUGAUUAUCACACGGAAAUUCCUGCUGUAUUUUCCUUCAGUCUCCUCUCAGCUGCUAGAGCAGCAGCCACGGACGACACAGUGGACGACACUGUUGCGAAUAGGGACUCAACAUCCUUAAGGGUUAAGAAAGGCUGAUCCUGAUUCUUCGUGUUCCCACUUAUGAAUGAACUGGUGCUUCUACUUCUGUUCAGUUUAUAUAUGCUCUCUUCCACGGUGUCUUUAACCUAAUGAAAUUUUGUUAGAACACAUAGAGACUAUAAAGAAGAAAUUCUAACAGAUGACAUGAAUUUUCGAAGUUUCGGACAACAAGCAAACUAGAAAGCAUGAGAUUGAAGAAUUACACACGUGCACAAAUUCACAAAAAGGAAUGAGAUUGAAGAAUUGUUAAUAGAAAACCCUCACGCUAGUCCUUAAAGAGUUCCUGCAUGCUCCUUUUUAUUCAUAGCAUCAAAUCUUUUCUAAUAUAAUCACUAAAGAAGGGAGUGUACAUUUAAAUUCUGAAACAAAUAUAAAAGGCUCCAUUCGAGCAACAAUCGGAUGGAUGACAUGAUAAGGAUUAUUAUAAGUCUAAUCUAAUUACAUAUAGAAAUUGCAUGGAUAAAUGGAGAGCUAAAUAGAAAUGUAAAUUGUUUUAAAAAGGAACUCAAACAAAUAGUCCCAAAAUACCCCAUGCCUAUCUUCAGUGUGGUGAGGUUAUGUAUCUCAAAUGCAUGUCUGCUAUAUGCAAUGUUCAAAAGAGAAAAAACGCAAGUGUUUAGCAUCCAAAAUUAGUUUAACAUAAAACAAAAUAAAAAAGGAAAAGGAGCAUACUAUAAAUCGAUGGACUAAUGUCCUCUUUUCCUGCCCAAUUCGGUGCACCCGGCUGACUGCUUGAGCCUCAGCUGCUGGAUUGAGCAGUGGCUCCACAAGAAAACAUGCUGUGCUUCUAAGAGAUUGAGUGCAUUGGCUCCAUGCUGGAUUAAGAGCAGCAACACUUGAACAGAUUUUGUUUCUUGUUGUUGUCUAUCAGUUCUUUUGAGACUGCUAUUCUGCGCUCUGAAUUCACUGAUGGCAACAUGUGAUUUCCUGCAUUUAUGAAGUCACAACCAAAAGACAUGAUAAAAAAUAAGUUGAAGUCUACAAAUAACUUGAUCAACAUUAAAAUACCUGAAACACACUUCUAACAGUAUUUUUGGCACUGGGAAACAAAGAGGUAUGCAUACAUUCAAACUUUUAAACUUCCCACAAUACCAAUUUUUACAGAACUCCAAGUGUUGAUCUACUAUAAUUGGAUCUCUCUCUUCCCUCCCCAAGGUUAAAUUACAACAUUUCAAUAUUUGCACAAAUUAUGCAAGGCAGUUAUUUUUCAUCCCCAAUCUCCUUUCAUUUUGUUCGUGAUAUCAUUAGUAUUCAUCAACCUAAUUUUUGCACUUUGCUUGCAUAAGAAUGCUGAAAACAGAAGGAACCACUUUUCUUGGAUGAUGUGGUUUCGUGAUAAUUUUGUUUGAGUUACCAAAUUAAGAGGAAUUUAACAACAAUCUUUUGGCAAACCUGAAAAGCAAAAUGAAAAUUCUCCUGGAUGGCAUAGCCCUUUUCUUUUGGCCCAUCAAGGUCCAUGAAGAUCAGUUGAACUAUAAAAAAAACAUAAAUAAGAUGAUCAAGAGAUCUAUCUACCUUCCUCCUUUCAUCCGGAUAUAGGUGAUUUCAUUAGCAUUGAAAGCAUGCUCUAACACAUCAAGGACAUCAUUCCAACUUGAAAAUACGAGAACCUUUGCUUUAGGAUCUGAAGACUUUAUCCACAAGAUUCUUCUAGUGACUGCUUCAACCUUUAUGGUGCCAAAAAAGAAGUGAACAAGGUUUAUGCUCUGGGAAAAGGAGAAUAGAAAUGCAAUAGUAAAUGCUGUCUUAAGUGCACUAUGUGCAUGUUCCAAGACUAUAAAUUUGAAUUUGAAUUUGCUCAAGGCAUUAGAUUAGGAAGUAAACCUUUGUUCCAUAUGAACCUUGAACAGCCAAAGUAGCUUCAGUUUUUUCACAGCCUUGAAUUGCAUCCAGCAUAGCAGAACUACAAGAUUUGUCCUGUCUAUCAUCGGCAUACGCAAUAUUCCCAAAAUCAGUAUGCUGCCGACAUGUUGGGCACAUUACCCAUUUACGUUGGAACCUGUUAUCAUGCAUUUUUCGCUCAGUCAUUGCAAAGAAACCUGCAAGAAAAAAGCAUGAAAUGAAAAUUAAAUGGCGCUUAACCAGGGUGAAAUAUUUCAUAUGAGAGGAAUCAACAGGUAAUAAAGUCAACUCCAACGUACUUAAGAUGGUUGAGGACAUCUAAGAGACAAGCAAGCAUGCAUGUCUAAGUACAUGCAUGCAAGCAAUCAUGUGCAUCGCACUCACACACACAUGAAAGAGAGAAGUCUGAGGAACUGGUGCAAGCAAUCAUGAGCAUCGCGCUCACACACACAUGAAAGAGAGAAGUCUGAGGAACUGGUGGGUCAAGGAUGCUAAGACAAAGUAUUCAUCAACUGAGAAUGCAGUUGACCCAUCAUAUCAAGGUAGAAAAAUUGCCAUGGUCUCUCCUAACUUUUAAGUGACAAAAUGCAGAUAUAGGAAGCAGGAUUAUCAAUAUGUUGUGCGACAAUUAGGAGAAAAGGUAGUCUUUUAUAAGAUGGUUUCUUAUCAUGCAUUGGCUUUUGCACCUGCUAUUACUGGCUUAGAAGGUUGGAUGCCCAGUUUUAGCUGGAUCCAGACUCCAUGUGUAGGAUUGUUUGGUUUGUUCUGUUUGGGAUGCCUAUUGGGUCAUUUGCUUCUUUUUAUCAAUGUUUGUUGUAUUAAAUUCACAUGAGAGAGCCAGUUCUAAAGUCGGUAAACUGAAUGUUUGUUGUUCUAACACCAUAAUUAUUUCAUGAAUGGAUUUUAGGAAGUUGAAUCAUGAAAUGGAAAACAAGAAAAACUCACAUUUACAGCAAGUGACGUGCCCGCAUGGGAAAACCAUCUUUUGAUUGUUUAGCUUCUCUUGACAGAUAGGGCAUGCUUCCUCAUCAUCUUUUGGCAAAUAUUCACUUAUCUUCUCUGUUGUCAUUGGCACGGCAGCCAUUUCUUCAGUUAACAAGGUAUUAUUUGAACUUUCAGAUGUUGGUUUCUGUUUUGAUUGUACCAAACCCUGAAAGUAAAUCAGAUAGUAAGAUCAAUGAUGAAAAAGAAAUAUUUUAUUCAUAUACAUACAGUAACAGAAAGGAAUUGAGUGACAAAUGUCACCCAGCCAAGGUUUAUUAACAAUUAUGCUGGCUAAAAAACCAGCAUAAUUCCUCAUAUAUACACCAAUAAAAAAAAAUCAUAGACGACUAUGCAACCUCUGGUUAGACAAUCUAUGACGGACCGGGGAGACGCUCUCCCCUUUGGAGAUGAAACAACAGCUGCCUGUUGGAAGUGAUGACAUAGCCAGAAGAUUGCUUAACUGCAAUUCCAUUCUGAGGUUUGGUGUUCAAAGAAAAGAAUGAUUAUCACACGGAAAUUCCUGCUGUAUUUUCCUUCAGUCUCCUCUCAGCUGCUAGAGCAGCAGCCACGGAUGGGGGCAGAUGUCUUAGGUUUUCAGUUGGCUUUCCAUCACUUUCUGGCACAGUGGACGGCACUGUUGCGAAUAGGGACUCAACAUCCUUAAGGGUUAACACAGGCUGAUCCUGAUUCUUCGUGUUCCCACUAAUGAAUGAACUGGUGCUUCUACUUCUGUUCAGUUUAUAUAUGCUCUCUUCCACGGUGUCUUUAACCUAAUAACAUCAUAGAAGAAAAGGGAGAAAUUUUUGUUAGAACACAUAGAGACUAUAAAGCAGAAAUUCUAACAGAUGACAUGAAUUUUCAAAGUUUCGGACAACAAGCAAACUAGAAAGCACGAGAGGUCUUUGUAAACGCUAGUCCUUAAAGAGUUCCUGCAUGCUCCUUGUCGCACGUCAAAAAAUCCCGCGCGUGGUAUCGGCUAGCGAUUUUUUUCUCGUUGUUGUGUUUGCUUGAAUUUGGUUCGUUGGAGUCGCCACCUAGUAAUUGAUUGAGGGCUACUAGGAAACCCGAUGUACUGGUCUUGUCAGAGAUCGCAAGUAAGGGAUUGGUUGUGGUUAGGGAAGAUAUUAACACCCCUAACGCACCCUACCUGAGAUAAGCUGCUUUGUGUUCUGAUAUGAUAUGAAAAUUAUUAUUAUUUUCAAACAUGAACUACUUAGAUACAUACUCUGUAAAAAUUAAUUGUUUUUUUUUAUACAAAAUAUUUUAUCCUCUAUAAUGACGUGAGACACUUGGAAUUUCAAGUUCACCUAUAAUUUCCAUAUUUUCCUCUGAAAAGAUAAUGGAAAAGUGUAUGUGAUGAGAGUCUCACCAAUUUUCCCACUUAAUAGAGAUAUAUAAUGGGAACAGAAAAAUGAGGUUCCUAUCCAUCCAUUUUUAUGAAGUUCCUAUCAAUCCACGGGAACAGAUUAUAAUUUUAUUUUUAUAAAAAAAAUAUUUAAAUUAUUCUAUCUUACUUUUAAGUAUCUUAAAUAAAAAUAUUAAUAAAUUUUUUUUUUAUUUCUUAUAAAAAAAAUAUUUAAAUUACACUUGAAGUAUCCCCAAUAUUUUUUUUAAUAAAUAUUUCCUAAUUAUUAUAAAAACAAAUUAAAACUAUCCUUGAAUAAUCCUAAACAUAAAUUCUAAUUAAUUUUUUUUAUUUGUUAUAAAACAAAUAUUUCAACUAUUCUUAAAGUAUUCUAAACAGAAAUGUUAAUUAGUUUUUUAUAUAAAAAAACAUUUAAACUACAUUUGAAAUAUCCUAAAUAAUUUUUUUAUAAUAUUUGUCUAUUUUUUAUAAAACAAAUUAAAUUAUCCUUAAAGUUUUCUAAAUAGAAAUUCAAAUUAAUAUUUUUUAUAAUUGUUUUUAUUUAUUAUAUAAAAAAAAUUUAAACUACUCUUGAAGCUAAGCCAAAAUGCUAAUUAUUUUUUUUAAUAUUUUUUAUAUAAAACAUUAAAUUAUUCUUAAAGUAUCCUAAACAAAAAUAUUAAUUAAUUUUUUAUGACACAUAUUUGUUAUGGUACUUUACCUUGAUGCGAACACAUUUUCUUCCCCUUUUAAUUUUUAUAUUUGGUUUUCUAAUUUAUAGCAUUCUAAAACAAUAACAUAACUUUAACUAUAUUUAUAUGUUAUUGGUUUGCUUUUUAUAUUAUUACCGUGUAUGAACCUAAUAAAUUAAUCAAAAUCAUGAUAUCACGUGUUAGGAUCUGUUUUGGAGUAUACUUGAUGUUGUUUUUUAAAAUAUGUUUUAUUUAAAAAUAUAUUAAAAUAAUAUUUUUUUAAUUUUUAAAAAUUAUUUUUAUAUUAGUGUAUCAAAAUGAUAUGAAAAUACCUAAAAAAAUUUUAAUUUAAAAUAAAUAUAAAAAUAUAAAAAUUUACAAAAACAAAUAGCUAUUCUAGAAAUUCUAAUUAUUAUUUUUUUUAUAAAUUAUUUUUAUUUUACAUAAAAAACAUUUACACUAUUUUUCAAAUAUUCUAAAGAGAAAUUCUGAUUAUUUGUUUUUUGGAUUCCGGUGAUGACUAGCCUCCUCCUCCUCCUACUCCAGUACCGUCUUUAUUUUAGAUUUAAUAUUUUUGAAUGUAUUUUUUAUAUUAAUUUUAGAUUUGAUUUGAUUUAUAUUAUUUGAUUUAUUUCUUUAUUUUUAUUCAAUGUAUUUUUUUAAAACAAUAACAUUGAACGGUAUUAUUGGAGCUUCAAUCCUGCUCAUCAUGGUUGAAUGGUAGCCUUUAUCGAUAGUCUAUGUCUCCUUGUAUUGGGAAUGAGGGCAAAUACAUAUCACAAUUAGCUCUGAAUAUUAAUGGGUUUGGAGCAGUCAGCUGUCUAUGUUUUUUAUUUGUUUUUUUAAUUAAAUAAUAAUAAUAAUAAUAAUAAUAAUAAAGAGAAGGCUACUAAAACGUUGAUGUCUUCUUCUUUCUUCUUUUGAUAAGAAUAUAGUUAGUAACGAGAAAAUGAAGGAAAACAGAAGCCGAAGAAUUAAAGAAUAUUGUUGGUGUUUAUGCUCCUUGUUCUAUGUCAGAAAAAAAGAAUCUUUGGAAGAACUUGUGUAUCCUUAGACAUGCCUUCCUUAUUCCGUGGUUGAUGGUGGGAGAUUUUAAUGAGACUUUGAAUCAGAUUGAUAGAAGCAGUGGCUAUCUUCAUAUCAAGGGCUCUUCAGCUUUUAGGAAUUUUCUGGAUUCUUGUCACCUUAUUGAGUAUCAACUGGCUGGAGGUUACUUCACUUGGUUCAGGAAUUGCUUGAUGAGCAAACUAGACCGUGCUUUCUCAAAUGAAUCCUUUCUUCUACAAUUCUCAAAUGUAAUGCUCCAUUGAUUACCUAGAGAAAUGUCAGACCAUUCCCCUUGCUUGUGUCUGAUUCCCUCCUAGAGAGCGGUUAUCGGCCUUUUAAAUUUUUGGACUGUUGGCUUCAAUUUCCUAACUUCAAAAAUAUUAUUAGAGGCUUUUGGUUUGACGAGUGUACAGCAUUCCCAGGACGUUUCAGAUUUAUUAAGAAGCUUAGCUUUGUAGCAGCUCAACUUCGGCGAUGGAACAAAGAUGAUUUUGGUGAUCAGGAGUACAAGCUUCAGGUUGUGAUUUCCCAAAUUGAUGAUCUAGAGAGAAAACAGGAGGUUGAUCCUCUAUGUCCCUCAGAUCACCUCAAGCUUGAAUCUCUUAUAAAGGAUAAAUGGACCUACAGUAAUAGAGUUGAAUGCAAGUGGAAGCAGAGAUCUAGACAGUUAUGGUGCAAGCUAGGGGAUCGUAAUACCAGGUUUUUCCAUUUGAUAGCUAACUUCAGAAGAGCUAAAUCUCAUAUUAUGAUGAUCAAUCAUAAGGGGGCUAAACUCCGGUCAUUACCAGAAAUCAAAUCUAAAUUCAAAGUUGUCUCUUUGGCUAGAGCGAGAUGUGACAUUGGAUGAAAUUAAAAGAUGUGUGUGGGAUUGUGAUGGUUCUAAGAGUCCUGGUCCAGACGGUUUCAAUUUUAAAUUCUAUAAGCUCGCUUGGGAUUUUAUUGCAGAAGACUUAUUGGACCUGAUCACUGAAUUUUUUAGAACAGGGUCUAUGCCGAAAGGGGUUAACCUCUCCUAUAUCACUUUGGUGCCGAAAAGAAAGGUUACUAUGGAAUUCAAAGAGUAUCGCCCCAUUAGUUUGAUCUAUGGUAUUUACAAGAUUAUUGCGAAGAUUUUGUCCAGCAGAUUAAAGGAAGUAAUAGGCAGCUUGAUUAGUGACAAUCAGACUGCUUUUAUAGCAGACAGACAAAUUGUUGAUGGUUUUAUGGUAGCUAAUGAAGUGGUUUAUGAUCUAAAAAGAAGUCGAAGAUCGGGUCUCAUCUUCAAGGUUGAUUUCCAAAAAGCUUUUGAUCCAGUUCUAUGGGAUUACAUUGAUGAGGUGAUGACUUACAUGGGUUUUGGUGCUAAAUGGAGAGGGUGGAUUUCCUCCUGCUUGUCUACUAGUCAGGUUUCAGUCUUAGUCAAUGGCUCUCCUUCCCUAGAGUUCAAAGUGGGGCGAGGUAUUAGGCAAGGUGAUCCCCUAUCUCCCUUUCUUUUUAAUAUUGCUGCUGAAGGUCUAUCUGUUCUCUUCCAACGUGCGGCAUCCUCAGACAUCUUUCAGGGUAUUGAUUUUGGCUCCAAUAACUUCUUAAGUCAUCUUCAAUAUGCAGAUGACACUCUUGUCUUUAUGCCAGCUAGUUUGCAUGCCCUCCAGUCAGUUAAAAGAGUCUUAAGGUGGUUUGCUCUAUGCUCAGGCUUGCACAUUAAUUUUUUUAAGAGUUCUCUUAUAGGAAUCAAUGUUGAUGACUCCUGCUUGGAUGAGUUUGCAAAAUCAGUUUACUGCAGGCAUGAUUCUCUUCCAUGUAAUUACCUGGGAAUGCCUUUGGGGUCUAACCCUAGAAGGAUUUCAACAUGGAAACCCGUCAUUGAUAAGUUUCGAAAGAAACUCACUUCGUGGAAAGGGAGAAUGUUAAGCAUGGCCGGUCGCAUUUGCCUUAUCAAAAGUGUGUUGAACUCCCUUCCUUUGUACUUCAUGUCCAUCUUCCUUAUGCCAAAAGGUGUGUGUCGCUUACUUACUUCCAUCCAACGCAAAUUCUUAUGGUCGGGAACUGUCAAAAUGAGAAAAAUUUGCAAAGUCCAAUGGAGCGUGGUUGUUAGAGAUAAGGAUAGGGGUGGCCUUGGGAUUGGGUCAUUGAUAGCCAAGAAUAAAGCAAUGCUUUUCAAGUGGAUUUGGAGGCUCUCUCUUCCUGGUAAUGAGCUGUGGAAGAAGAUGAUAUUCAACAAAUUCAAGCCGGUGUUUGAAAAUGGUUUCCCUAUUUUUAGUAGAAGAUUGUCUUGUAUCUGGAGGGAUAUAACAUCCCUUAUGACCUCAACAGACUCUGUCUCUUCAGCUUUAGCCAAUAAUUGCAGAUUUGUAGUGGGAAAUGGCUCUCUGACUCGAUUCUGGUCUGAUGUUUGGUUUGAUAGCUCUCCAUUGAAAGUCAUCUACCCACGACUCUACAUUCUUACCACUAAACCGAAUGCCACAAUUGCUGACAUGGGAAUUUGGGAGCAAGGAGAAUGGAAGUGGGAGUUAGCUUGGAGGAGACAAUUGUUCCUCUUUGAAACUGAGCAGGUCGUCUACCUUCUCUCAUCUCUAGAAAGCUUUCGAAUAAAGGCAACAACUUUAGAUAAAAAAGUCUGGUCCUCUUCAACAGAUGGAGGGUAUACAGUUAAAACUUGUUCUUUACUUAUUGACAGGAUUGUGAAUCCAGGGCUUAGAACUUUCAAGGCUUCGAUAUGGCAAAAAGGGGUCCCUCCUAAGGUUCAAUCUUUUCUUUGGCUAGCUGUUCAGAAUAGACUGUGCACUAAGGAUUUCUUACUUUGCCGUAAUAUAAUCCCAGUUGAUCAAGCCUUUCGUAUCUUUUGUGAAAAUGAGAUUGAGACUUCAAAUCAUCUUCUCCUCCAUUGUAGACCAGUGUGGAAAUUAUGGAUGAAAUUCUUGGAUUGGUGGGGUAUUAGUGGUUGCCUUCCCUGCUGUGUGGAUGAUCUUUUACAUCAAUGGCCCAACCUAGUGUUCGGAAAAUUCCAGCGUAAGGCUUGGUCUAUGCUUUCUUGUUGUGUUAGCUGGAGUAUAUGGCUUAUGAGGAACAAGGUAAUCUUCAAUGAUGGAACUGCGACCUUCGAAGAUAUUUUCUCCUUAAUUCUUUAUCGCCUCUCAAAUUGGCUCAAGUCUGCAGAUAAGUUCUUCAUGGCUAUGACAUUACUUUAAUUAUGGGACCUGAAGGUAUUAUAGAUUGGUCUAACACCAAAUAAAGGCUUUUAGCAUGGCGUAUCAGCUUCUUCAUUCCUAAUGUCCUUUUUCGGUUAUGUAUCUGUUGACUUUUUUUUCCUUUCUUUUUGUGUUUGUUUUUUGUUAUUGUGAUUCUUUUUUUUUUUUUAUGUAUCUUGUUUUUGGCUAUUUUUUGAUUAGCCCUUUUAAUAUAUCGACUUAUUCCAAAAGAAAAAUAAAAAUGAAAUCGAUGAGGAAAAAAAGGAGAGGGAGAGAGGGAGAUGGGGUGCUUCUGGGCGGGAAGCGUGAAAAGAAGGAAAGAAAUAAGUAAUUAAUUGAAAAGAUAUUGUACUUGUUGAAGGACGAAAGUGCCCUUCAAGUUAAGACAAGGAAAAGAAGGUAGCUGGGAGAGAGCCAGGUGGCGAUCAUGAGAGGAGAAGGGUGACACGUGGUUGUGACUGGCACAAAGCUCUUCCUUUUUACUGAUUAUUUAAUUAACUCGUUGUCUUCUUGAGGUCCGUGUUGAACGAACCUAAAAAACAAGAUGCCUUUCUAAUUCUAGAGCAGAAGACACGUUUCGAGAUGUAACAAACGCUAGAAAAAGUGUCCAUGUGUUUGUCAGUUUAGGUGUGUGGGAGUUCGACACGUGGAUAGGAAGCAAGUUGCAUGAGGAGUACUUAUUACUCGUGAAAGAUGCGGCUAUCUUUUAUCUUGCUACCUGUGGGGUGAAUACUUUUUUAAAAAAAUAUUUUUAUUUUAAAAUAUAUUGUUAUAAUUUUUUAUUAUUUUUAAUAUUAUAAUUUUAAAAACAAUAAAAAAUAUUAAUUUAAUACUUUUUAGUAAUAUUCUACUAAAAUAACUUGGAGUUACUUUAUUUUUGUAUUUUAAAAGUAUUUUAAAAAGUAUUUAUAUAUUAUAUAUUUUUAUUUUUAUUAAUUUUUUUAUAUGUUUUUAGAUUGUUUUGAUAUAGUAAUAUUAAAAUAUAUCUUUAAAAAAUAAUAAUAAAAAUAUUUUAAUAUAUUUCUAAAUAAAAAAUAUUUUAAAAAUUAACUACAAAUAUCAAAAGAGUUUAAAUAUCAAGAGAGUUCCAACUCAACACUUAUCCCAGUUAUGCAAAGGAUAAAAAGAAAAGCAUUAGACUAGGUUUUCUUAAGUUCCACAAGGAAUAAGAGGGAUACUGUCGUUCAAUAAAUAAAAAUAACGAGGGAUCAUUUGAUUUGCCUUUCUAUCUUUCUGAUAGUCUUUUAAGUUGUGCAAUGCAUUGUAAUUAAACAGGGGUGUUCAUUUAUUCCGAAGUUAGACAGAGGUUAAAUCAAAAUCAAUUUAAAUAAGUUAAGAUAAUUGCUUUAAUUGAUGCAUGGUAAAUAUAAUAUAUCCAUCAAUGUUAAUUUUACAUGUAUAAUAUUUAUAUUGUUUGAAUCCAAUAUAUAUGUAUACACACCCUUGACAUUUAUAUGACACGUAUAAUUUCUAUAUUCAAUAUAUUAUUCUUUUAUUUUAUGUUAAAUUAUAAAUAAUACUUGAUUUAUAAAAUAUAUAAAAAAAAUAUUGAGCAGGAAAUAUUGAAUAAGAUAUGAGUAUAGUACAAACUUUGAUAUAUAAAUACCUACCACUAAUAAAUAAAUUCAUUUGUUUAUGUGCAGCGUGAAGAAGAACUAGAGUGGAUCUUGACAAGUGUUGACGUUUAAAACUAGAGAUAUUACACGCUUGACCUUAUCUAAACACAAACAGAUUGGUUGCAUUGUUUGCUGUUUUUUUUUUUUUAUUAUUAUUUGAAAAGAUGAGAUCAGUUUCAUUUGAGUUUGUAACUAUUCCUCUCAAGAAGUGCACUUUAACUGCACACAGCUCAGAUGCAUUAUGAAUCUACAUUUAUAUUUUUCCUGAAAAAAAAGAUAUUUAUUUUAAAUUCCUCUCAACAAUUAUCACAACGGGUGUAUGAGUUAAUUUAGGUAUAUUUUAAUUAAUUUUAUAAAUUAAUAAUCAUACAAAAUGCAAACGGUUAGUAAUUUGUUGAAAUUUAUAGAACCCAAACUUGUAACUUAAAAAAGAAGAAGUAAAAUCUGAUGAGGGAAGUUACACCACCAUGUAGAGAGAUUCUUUUAGACCCUGAUUUUUCCUUCUCUUCAUGCCUCUCUCCUAGAAGUCCUAAGAAAUACAUAGGUAUUAUUGAAGCUUCAAUUCUUUUUAAUUUUUAUUUAAAAAAUAUUUUUAUUUUUUAUAUUAAUUUAAUUAAUUUAUUUUACAUUUUAUUUGAUUUAAUAUAUUUGAUUUAUUUUUCUACUUUUAUUCAAAGUAUUUUUUUUAAAAUACAUUGAAUGGUAUUAUUGAAGCUUCAAUCCUGCCCAUCAUGGUUGAAUGGUAGCCUUUAUCGAUAGUCUAUGUCUCCUUGUAUUGGGUAUGAGGGCAAUUUUAUAUAAAAGAUUUCACAAUGAAAAUUUCACCAACCAAUAAACUGUUAUCGUGUUCUUUGGGUUUGAAUUUUCUAAUGAAAUGAUGGAAAUUCAUUGGAUGGUAGAGUGGGUCUUGCUGCUACCUUCUUACAGUUGAUUAUUUUGCCUACUGAAGCUCUUGUUUUUUUUUUAUUAUUGUUCUUUUAAUUGUUUGAGCGAUAACUUAAAAUUUCAUUCGUAGCAUUGAUCUUCAAUUUAAAAUCAAAAUAUUCUCAAACCAAAGAAAAACAAAUUCUAACGCAUAAAAUAGUGCCGACAUAAUUUGAAAGAAAAAAAGUUUGAAGAUGAAAUUCAUAUUACAAAAAAUUAUUGUUCCAAUUGAUAAUCGAAUACAAGUAGCUAGCUAUACACUAUGAGAAGAGAUCUCCCAAACUUAUUGUGCAAAACGCCUUGGGCAGUGGAGGGCACUUAGCUGUAAGCUCGAAAGAAAUUUUUUCCAUUGUAGGCCGAGAUUGGGGAUUGGGAUGCAAGCAUGCAAGUGCAAUUUUUAUCAUGUGGACAACCCCCUCUGCUGCUUUUUCAGGAAGCGAUAUGCGGUGGUCUAACACAUCCUUCAAUGGUGUAUGUUGAGCAAUCGGUGGCAUCGACGAUGAUGACGAAGAUCCUGGUGAUAAGAGUGCUGAAAUGAGAUCGCCUGGGUGCCUUCCUGUCAUCACCUCCAUUGUUACCACUCCGAAGCUAUAGACAUCGCAUUUUUCAGUCACCUUCAUUGUGUAAGCUAGCUCUACAAAAAAAAAAAAAAAAACUGAUUAUGCAUGGUUUUUUAUCAAAUAGUUGAAAGAAAAUACUUUAUAAUAAAAGCUAAAAAAACACUAUAUUAUCUUCACUAUUACACAUUAGUAACUUGAUGUUGAAAUAAAACUACGCACCUGGAGCAGUAUAUCCAAAAGUACCUGCAAAUGAGGUCCAAUUGGAUGAGUCAGGCAUCAACAGUCUAGCGGUGCCAAAGUCGGAGACGUGUGCUUCAUAUUCCAAGUCCAGAAGGAUAUUAUUCCUGGUAAUGUCUCGAUGAAUGAUCGGAGGAGAGCAAGAAUGGUGUAGAUAGGAUAAAGCUCCACCCAUCCCUUUCACAACGUUUAGCCUUCUCAUCCAAUCGAACUCAAUUGCUUGUUCCUCACUGGUUAUAAUCUUUCUCAAGCUUCCUCUUUCAAUGAACUCAUAAACCAAAAAAGAAUGCUUUGCAUGUGAGCAAAAUCCAUACAUUUUCACAAUAUUUCGAUGUCGAAUAUUUGCCAACACACAAACUUCCUUUUCAAAAGCUUUAAAAUCGGACAACUUUUCUGUUUGUGAUCGGUGAAGUUUCUUCACAGCAACCACCUGUUCUGUUGGCAUCACUGCUUUAUAAACAGUUCCAUAUCCUCCUUCGCCAAUGCAGUAGUUGGAGUUGAAUUCCUCUGUAGCUUCAAUGAUGUUCUCAUACAACUUCUUCCCAUUGUCGCACCCCAAAAAAAUCAGCGCGCGGCAUCGGCUGGCGAUUUUUCGUCUUGUUGUUGUUUGCUUGAAUUUGGUUCGUUGGAGUCGCCACCUAGUAAUUUAUUGAAGGCUACUAGAAAACCGGAUGGACUGGUCUUGUCAGAGAUUCGCGGGUAAGGGACUGGUUGUGAUUAGGAAAGGUAUUAGCACCCCUAACACACCCUACCUGAGGUAAGCUGCUUCGCGCAUUUGAUGUGUUAAAGAAGUUUUAAUAAUUGUCUUUUCGUCGGAAAUUAGAAAUAUCACUUACGUAUAAGUUAAUAAUUCUUAACCGUGAUCCGAUCAAAAUAUUAAAUUCUUCUUUAAUAUAUUUUCAAUUUCAUCCUAAAAUAUAUAUAUAUAUAUAUAUAUAUAUAUAUAUAUAUAUACACAAAUAAAUAAAACAAAAUACACACACACAUUCACUAUUUUCAUUUCUUUUUUUUUCUUUUCUCUUUUCUUUUCUUUUACAUCCACAAUACAAAUACAAAUACAAAUAAAAAUUCAAAUUCAAAAUAAAUAAAUAAAAAUACACCAACACACACAUCCCCUUUUUUAUUAUUAUUUUCUUUUCUUUUCUUUUACAUUCACAUAUUACAAAUUUAAAAUAAAUAAACAAAAAUUACAUUAAAACUUUAAAAUUUACAAAAUGGUCCCUCAAAACUCUCGAAUUUGCACAGAAGGACUUCUGGGGAUGCAUGAACAGUUCCGGCGCGUUUUCCCACGCGCCGCCGGGAGAAAAAACAGGGAAAUCAGUCACGGCUUCCUCUCUUCUUCCCCUCCUCACCGGCGAUGAUGCUGUGACCUGAAAGAUAACAAAAAAACGCAACAAAACACAAUCAAUCCUCUUCUUCUUAGAUCUGUUUAGAUCUGCUCCUCUUUCCUCCUUCCUCAAUCGCAGAUCUGUUGAGGAGUGUUAGGUGGCUCGCCGGGAAGCUUUUUUUCUGCCCGUUGCUCCUGUCUCCUUCCCCGGUGGCAGAUCGGGCGGCGACGCUGUCGUUCGUGGGCACCGUUGAAGGCUGUCGUUCGGGUGGUUGCUGCUGGUGAAGAUGGGAGCCGCUGUUGAAGGAGGCUGAUCUGCUGUGUCGGCCAGAUGAGGGAGAGAAGGACGGCGCUGCUGCUGCCACCGCUGAGGACGGCUGGUCUGGGAGGAUCGACCGAAAGGGAGAGAGGUCUGGUGGAAAGGAACGGUUCGGUUUUGUUGGUGGCGAAGCUGUGAUUGAUUUAUGAGGGGAACGGUGAUAAGGGAGGAGCAGUUUUGGCCGACGAUGGGGCUGUAAAGGGGGGGAGUCUCCGGCUGGAGGUUGAAGAUCAGAGGAAAGGGGGAUGCGCCGCUCCUUUUGUUCUCUGGUUUUGGGUGAGUCGGGUGAAGGAGAGAACCGGCGUGGAGAAAAUGUGGGGAUCUGAAAAUGGUGGGGGGUCCUUGGCUCUCUGGUUCUGGUAGAGCCAAAAUCCAAGGACCCCGGGGAACAAAAUAAUUCAAAAUCAGUGGGGGGAAGGCGCCGCCGGCCAGUUGUUUUGAGUGGAUAGAAAAAGUUGGGCUUUAGGGUUCUUGUGUUUUUUUUCAAUAUCCCCAAAUUAACCCCCCCCGGUAAAAAUCAGUUUAGCAUGGUAUUUAUAGGCAAAAAUAUUGCUAGGUUUUUCGACUUGGUCCCUCAACUUCUUUCUUUUUGUAAAUUUUGAUUUUUCUUAUUUUUUUGUAUUUUUUGAAAACGAGCAAUAUCAACGUCGACUCAAAAUGCGGAAAAUCAAUGAUUUUAAAAAUGACGCGUGAAAAGUCGAACGCGUUUGAAAAUAUUUUAACAAUUUAAAUUCUUUUUUAGACGCCGUUGAAAAUGCUAAAAUGACGAAAAUAUAUUAAAAAAAUAUUUUUUGGAUUUUCUUUGUUUUUCUCAAUUUUUUUGGAUUUUUUGAAAAUAUAUCAAAAACAUCGGUCAAAAAUUGGGUAGCAACAGAUGCCCCCUCUUUACAAUGCUUACGAAGCGAAAAUCCUCAAAAUUUUGCAUAGUAAGCUUUGUAAAGAAAACAAAAGGAAGAUGAUUUCAUUAUCUUGGGCGACCUGCCCACACACUCACACUGAUCUAUUUUCACGGGUGACCUGCCCACGCAUACUCACUCUGGUCUAUUUUCACGGGCGACCUACCCACACGUACUCACUCAAGUCUAUUUUCACGGGCGACCUGCCCACACAUACUCACUCAAGUCUAUUUUCACGGGCGACCGACCCACACUCUCCCAAUAGUCUAUUUUCACGGGCGACCUGCCCACACAUUGGGUUUACCUGAGAUCCCAUCUAGCGACCUCAUUCAACUGGAACGAAAAUAUGUGUAACUCGGUUAACCUGAAAUCCCAUCUGGCGAUUCCCUUUAACCAAAGUUACAUGAGAUCCCAUCUGGCGACCUCAUUCUGGUCUCAUUGUAUGGGUGACUAACCCUCGAAAAAUGCUGGUCUCAUUGUACGGGUGACGAACCCUAGUGCUGCUGGUCUCAUUGUACGGGUGACGAACCCUAGUGCUGGUCUCAUUGUACGGGUGACGAACCCUAGAAAAAUGCUGGUCUCAUUGUACGGGUGACGAACCCUAGAAAUAUGAUGGUCUCAUUGUAUGGGUGACGAACCCAAAAAAAAUGAUGGUCUCAUUGUAUGGGUGACGAACCCUGGAAAAAUGAUGGUCUCAUUGUAUGGGUGACCUACCCAGAUGGAAAAAAUGUGAAGUGCGGUCUCAUUGUAAUGGGUGACUUACCCAUGUGGAAAAAAUAUGAAGUGUGGUCUCAUUGUAAUGGGUGACCUACCCAGUGGAAAAAAUAUGAAGUGGGUCUCAUUGUAUGGGUGACCUACCCAAUGGAAAAAAUAUGAUGAAGUGCGGUCUCAUUGUAUGGGUGACCUACCCGAUGGAAAAAUGUGGAAAAUGGUCUCAUUGUAUGGGCGACCUACCCAAUGGAAAAAAUGUGAAACGGUCUUAUUAUGAUGGGCGACCUACCCAGAUGGAAAAAAUGAUAUGACAAGUGUGAAAAAUAGGACUUACCUGGCGAAGUUCUGAAGGGAUGACAGAAGAAAGGGCUGGAAACUUGGUGCUUCCUGAUAAUUCCCGAUCAUGGGGUUUGAAAACUCGGUGUUUCCUGACUGCAAGGGUUGAAAACUCGAGGCUUCCCGGUUGCAAGGUUGAUCUAUUCAUUUCUUUGGGAUUUUUAAUGGUAGGGUUCAUCCCAUCGUCCUUUUAUUCCAUGAUCAAAACCGAUUCUUUAUUAUCAUCACCACAAUGCUUCUUUCUCUUUCCACCAUCUUGCUGGACCUCAUUAAGGAUUUUCCUGUAACAAUUCAAAAAUAUGUGCAAAUGGUUUUUUUUUUUUUUUUUUUUUUUUUGAGGUUAGAUGAUAUGCAUGCAUCCUUACCUGAUUUGAAAUAAUAGGUCCCCCCUCUUUGAUGCUCCAUCGUCAUAGGGUGCCCUUGUUUGUAUCCCAAAGCUUUCUUUGUUCUUCCGAUGUAUUGGCUCAUUCAUGUGUUAGCCAUCCACUCAGCUGUAAAUGCAGUGCCCAUCCCGGGCUGUCUUCGACAAUUACUGCUUGCAUCGUUCAUGAAGCUUGACCCUGCCCCCAAGUGUGGUACUGCUUGAUUCAUCAUGAAGAUUUUCUCUCCUGGCUUCUUCUGAGAAUUAUCCUCUGAUUGAUUGUGUGCAUCAUGCCAACACCCAUCAAGAUUGUUAAUCAGUCAUGAACUUGCCUCUAGUUGAAACAGUACUCUUCAAGUACAUGUUAUCAUCAGCCUCCUUGGAACUCAAUCAGUCAUCUAGACAUGCAUCUCAUAGCUUGCAGUACAAAGGCUCAUGGUUGUAUGCUCAGUGCUCUUCUCAUAGAUUCCUUUCAACUCUUCUAAUCAGAUUGUGAAAAGAAAUGUCUCAGCCUCAUCAAUGAUGCUGCUUUUAUCACCAUACUCAUGCGGUGAAGCGCUCAUCUGGCUUCAGAACAAGUUGUCCCACAAUCAGUCUUCGAGGUGGGUUCCUUUCCGACAUUCAUUCAGUGCAGUUGUGUGAUAACAUCUCUCUAACCAUGUUUCAAAGAAUGACAAUAUGAGAUUGUCCUUUAAGUGCAGCAUUGUUCCACAGUCAGUCUUGGUGGUGUGCAUCUUUUCACCAUUCAAUUACAUUCAUCUGUGUAUCUCAUCGAUUGCUAGCCAUGUUUCAAAAUGAUGAUAUGAAAGUGUCCUUCAGUACAUCUUUGUUUCUCCAUUGCCGACAGGGUUCACUAAGCAUGGGCCAUUUUGGAAUGACAAUGCCCCCGUAUGAUCUGAAUGUGCUCGUUCAUUGAUUAUCUUCUUUGAACAUCAUUGUCUUCAGUUCACUGAUUCAUCAUUUAAUCAUUGCCUCAUAGCUGAUCUGAGCACUGCUUGUUUUUUCUUUUCAAGGUCUACUGUAUUGCCCCCAGUGCUCAACUUUUCAAGGAGUGUCGAGGACUUCAAUGUCAGUUUCUAUCAAGAUUUUGCAUACUCAAUCAAUGUUCUUUUGUGUUUGAUAAUCUUCCUUGUUCUGGAAUCAACUCUCAUAUUUCAAAGAUCAUGUCUAUUCAAAGUCUAGUUUGUUGAAAUGAAAUCAGAGAUGUCCUUUUUUGAAAAUCUUUUGAAAAUCAAGCUUUUUGAUCAAAGACCCAACACACGUUAUUCGAAAUAUAUAGUCCUUUGAUUGUCAUGCAUUUUGAAAACAGAAAUUGACCCAAUGUAGGAUUAAAAAUGGCUUUUUCCAUGGUUCUUUGUAUCAAUUUGAAUCCUUGAUAUUGGGUAUAUCAUUUGAUAGUUUAUGAUGAGGUGAUUUUUUGAAUUUCAAAACAAGAUGCUCAGGCUUUAUCAAGAAAGGUUGUUUCUUUUCUUAUAUUUAUUUUAUCAGCAUGCAUAAUAACCAGUAGCCUAAUUCAAUGAAGCCACGACUCUUAUAGAAAAACUCUUCAAGUUUUGAGAUCGCCAUUUAUUGGUUCAGAUUGCUUGCUUGAUUAAAAAGGGCUUUUAAAAGCACGUAAUGCAGGCUAUGGUUCAUGGCUAUGAAAGAAAGGAAUUCCAUAGGCUCAAAAGGUGUUUGAGGGUUUCAACGACCUAGGACCAACAUUAACUAUUCAUCGAUUCUCUUUCUCUUGUCGUCAUUGUAGCGAGAGUGACAUAUAACCUUGUUAAUCUUCAAAUAUCAGAAUUCUCUUAACAUAGGUCAUAAUGCAAAUCCAACUUUUUCUUUGAUGAAUAAACUAAUCUAAUUAUUUUUGAAGACAUUAGAGGCUCUAUCCAAGACACACCAAAAGAUAUGAAGCAUCGAUUUUUCUAGUGUUGACUUUUGGCAUUUGCUGUCUUUUCUCAAUUGAAAACUGUCUUGCCUCUCUUAGAAUUGAUAGGCAUUUUCUUUCCUUUCCAUUUUUUUUAGCCUUCCUCAAAGUUUUUCUUGGAUGGCCCUCAAUCUAUGGAUUUUCUUCUGCUAGCCCUUUCUCAAACAUUGGACUUUUGUUCUAAGCUUUUCUUUGAUCCAUUGAUUUUAUUAGUGUCUCCAAAAUAUUUCUCAUUUGCCCCCAGUGUGGGGUGUGAUCCUAGUCAGGGUUUCCUUUUGAAAGAAAAUAUUCACCAGCUCAAAAUGGGACUACAAGGGAUAUAAUUUUUAGAAAGUGAAGAGAUAUCAAAGAUGGCCUUUUCUCAUUUCAAGCAAGGUCGGUUAGAACCGAUAAAUUUUGACCUCAUCUAGUAUAAUGAUUUGUACUUGCAAGAAUCAUGAUUCACGAGUCCAUAACUAUUGAAUCCACUAUAUGUCAUUAUGCAUACUGUUAAAACUUAGCUAUAUGAUGUGUGGUUUAGUUUCAAAAAGGUAUGAGUUCAAAAUUGUUUGGGUCACCUCAUGUCAUUUUCAAGCAUAGAGUCAUUUCUGUAAUCAAAACACUUCUAAUCUUCCGGAUUGAUUAACCUUUAUCGCAUGUUGGAGUUUGAUCAAAAUAUUUUGUCAGAAUAAAAUGCUAAACAUCUGUUGAUUUCAAAACAACAAAGAGACAAAAGCAAGGCAUGUUUCGUUGAAGGAUGAGAUGUGAUCCCAAAACAAAAUGCAGAAUUCCAUAACAAUAUGAUUGACUGUUCAUCACCCUUCUCGAAUCAGCUUUUCUGGCAAUAUCUGUGUUUUGCCAAGCAUUUUCGAUCACAUGUCAUUCUGAAGAUGUUCGGGGAACAAUAUAGCCAGUGACACCCUUCUUCAACGACUCCACCUGUCUCUUGCUCACCAACUUUCAGACUCCAUUCUUGCAAUUCUUGAAACUGUUCACUUGAAAUGGUUGAGGACCCCACCAUGACAUCACAUCUCUUAUCUGGAUUAUACCACUGAGAAAUUGGUGGUUGCAUGGGAAUUUGUCGGAGUCAAGCAAAAUUCUGGAAUCUUGCGGAUGCUGGUCGACAACUUAAACGGCAGAGCAAUGUCCCAUCUUGGCAAAGAUAUUUUGAGCAAUUGAUGAUGCCGUGAGACCUGGCUAUACCACAUAAUUAAGGGUUCACACUGUCAAAGUCAUCUCCUGAUUCACCUCUCAUCAUUGUUCUAGAAUCCAUGGCAGAUCCUUCAAUCUUCCAAUGUUGCUAUGGUUGGUUGAGGAUUGUUAGAAAACUUUCUAACAGCUUGGUAAUCUUGGCAGCAUCCAGAAACUUGUAGUAUCGCCACUACCGACGUGUGGAAUCACACAUUGUCUUUAUUGGAAGAGCACCUGAUGAAUCUAAAACUCCUUCGUCCCCUCUUCAAUUUCUCACUGACAGUGCAGCAAACAAACACCUAUAGAGGAAGUCCUGCUCUGUUGAAGUUUCAGUAUUCUUCAUGUUUUUCAGUCUAGGCAUGUAUCUUCUCUCUACUUUUGCAUUUUAAUACUGACACUGUUGGAGAAAAAUCAUAAAUGAUCUGAAACUACUGUAUUCCUUCUUGGAUUUCCACUUGCGGAUCCACAAACAGAUUCCUGUCGGGAGAGCUCUGCUACGUUGAAGUUUGAUGUCUGCUCAUAUUUUUCAAGCCAAGUCUGGCUCUUCAACCUGCUAUAGUUUCUUCGUGCUGAAACUGAUGAGAGAAAUAUUUGUAGCAUAUGCAAUUAGUAAAUCCCCUCUUGCAUUCCCAAUUUGCAGAGCCAUAAAUGGAUUUUUGUAGAGAGAGCUCUGCCACAUUGAAGUUUGACAACUACUAAUAUUAUCAGACCAGGUCUGACUCUUCUGCCUACUACAAUGUUUUGCUGGUGCCACUGGUGGGAAAAGUUUCAAAGCAUAUGAAACAUUCCCUUUUGCAUUUGCCAUUGACAGAUCCACAAAUAAAUCUCUACAGAGAGAGCUCUACCACGUGGAAGUUCAGUGUCUGAUCAUGGUCUUUUUCAUACCAACAUCUUGUGCUGCUGAACUGGAAUUGAGCUCAUAGUUGGGGUAACUUCAAAGCAGACUAAUGCACCAUGAACAGGAGGUUAGUAGUCGUUUGGUUCCAUUAGAUGAUGUGGAGGCGAUGAAUACUUAACAGCGCAACUGGACAGGAAUCAGAGUUGUCAUUAGUUGAUGACUGAAGGCGUUGUUGCUGUUGUUCAUGACUGAAAAGGAAAGGUACAGCUUCAAUUGGACGUGAACAAGCAGUGUUCCCACAGAAAACUGUGCAGACAUUCUCUUUUCAUUUGAUGCUCAACACUUGUUCGAGCAGAUCUGAGUCCCGCUACUUCACUCUUGAUGCUCUCAACCUUAAUCUGAUACUGAACCUAUAUCUGACUCCUUUGUUCACUUCCAUUAUUUUUCUUCAAUCUCGUGCAGCACAACUUGUACAAGGGACCUACGUUUCGACCCGGUUCAUGCAUGAUAAAUGUAUGAACAUGUAAUCUAUAUGAUGAACUCUCCCUUCGAGAGGUGACAAUAUGGUCGUAACUCUUGUAUGAUGGACAAGAAUCGUGAUUUUUGCCCAAACUCUACAAUGAAAAUUUUCGGAGCAACGGCCAAUGUGUCACCCACAAGUCUUGAGUUCAAGAUGCUUCAAGAAGGGUUUGCCCUUAUGCAAAAAACGAUAGCACAUACAACCUAAGGACAGGUUCUAUUCAUUAUGUGAACAUGGGUAAGUUUUCUAUCUGGUCUCAAAAGGGUCUCAUAUCUGCCCAGUGACGUUCUUCGUAAAGACAGUUUGGGGGCGUUGCAAGGAAUGGUUAAGGUACGUAUACCCACCAUUACCAAGCAGGCACUCAGAUAUGAGUUGGGUGUUUCACGCAUCUGAACCCUGACCAAUAGUCUUAGGGCAGAUCGCUAGUUCCCCACCUAACCUAGAAGCUUGUGUGUGCUUUUAAAAAUAAAUACAGGUGAUGCAUGAGACAAUUCUAUAAAAUGCAUGGAAAUAAAUAUUAACAAAAAGAUAAAAAUGCAAAAACUUAAACACAUCAAAUACACAAAGCUUAGUCCAAUACUCGAAAAAAUACCUUCCCCAGUGGAGUCGCCAUUCUGUCGCACCCCAAAAAAAUCAGCGCGCGGCAUCGGCUGGCGAUUUUUCGUCUUGUUGUUGUUUGCUUGAAUUUGGUUCGUUGGAGUCGCCACCUAGUAAUUGAUUGAAGGCUACUAGGAAACCGGAUGUACUGGUCUUGUCAGAGAUUCGCGGGUAAGGGACUGGUUGUGGUUAGGGAAGGUAUUAGCACCCCUAACGCACCCUACCUGAGGUAAGCUGCUUCGUGCUUUGACGUGUUAAAGAAGUUUUAAUAAUUGUCUUUUCUCGGAAAUUAGAAAUAUCACUUACGUAUAAGUUAAUAAUUCUUAACCGUGAUCCGAUCAAAAUAUUAAAUUCUUCUUUAAUAUAUUUCAAUUUCAUCAUUAAUAAAUAUAAAAAUAAAUAUAAACACAAAUAAAUAAAACAAAAUACACAACACACAUUCACUUUUUUCAUUUCUUUUUUUUUCUUUUCUCUUUUCUUUUCUUUUACAUCCACAAUACAAAUACAACAAAUAAAAUUCAAAUUCAAAAUAAAUAAAUAAAAAUACACCAACACACACAUCCCCUUUUUUAUUAUUAUUUUCUUUUCUUUUCUUUUACAUUCACAUAUUACAAAUUUAAAAUAAAUAAACAAAAAUUACAUUAAAACUUUAAAAUUUACAAAAUGGUCCCUCAAAACUCUCGAAUUUGCACAGAAGGACUUCUGGGGAUGCAUGAACAGUUCCGGCGCGUUUUCCCACGCGCCGCCGGGAGAAAAAACAGGGAAAUCAGUCACGGCUUCCUCUCUUCUUCCCCUCCUCACCGACGAUGAUGCUGUGACCUGAAAGAUAACAAAAAAACGCAACAAAACACAAUCAAUCCUCUUCUUCUUAGAUCUGUUUAGAUCUGCUCCUCUUUCCUCCUUCCUCAAUCGCAGAUCUGUUGAGGAGUGUUAGGUGGCUCGCCGGGAAGCUUUUUUUUCUGCCCGUUGCUCCUGUCUCCUUCCCCGGUGGCAGAUCGGGCGGCGACGCUGUCGUUCGUGGGCACCGUUGAAGGCUGUCGUUCGGGUGGUUGCUGCUGGUGAAGAUGGGAGCCGCUGUUGAAGGAGGCUGAUCUGCUGUGUCGGCCAGAUGAGGGAGAGAAGGACGGCGCUGCUGCUGCCACCGCUGAGGACGGCUGGUCUGGGAGGAUCGACCGAAAGGGAGAGAGGUCUGGUGGAAAGGAACGGUUCGGUUUUGUUGGUGGCGAAGCUGUGAUUGAUUUAUGAGGGGAACGGUGAUAAGGGAGGAGCAGUUUUGGCCGACGAUGGGGCUGUAAAAGGGGGGGGAGUCUCCGGCUGGAGGUUGAAGAUCAGAGGAAAGGGGGAUGCGCCGCUCCUUUUGUUCUCUGGUUUUGGGUGAGUCGGGUGAAGGAGAGAACCGGCGUGGAGAAAAUGUGGGGAUCUGAAAAUGGUGGGGGGGGGGGUCCUUGGCUCUCUGGUUCUGGUAGAGCCAAAAUCCAAGGACCCCAGGGAACAAAAUAAUUCAAAAUCAGUGGGGGGAAGGCGCCGCCGGCCAGUUGUUUUGAGUGGAUAGAAAAAGUUGGGCUUUAGGGUUCUUGUGUUUUUUUUCAAUAUCCCCAAAUUAACCCCCCCCGUUAAAAAUCAGUUUAGCAUGGUAUUUAUAGGCAAAAAUAUUGCUAGGUUUUUCGACUUGGUCCCUCAACUUCUUUCUUUUUGUAAAUUUUGAUUUUUCUUAUUUUUUUGUAUUUUUUGAAAACGAGCAAUAUCAACGUCGACUCAAAAUGCGGAAAAUCAAUGAUUUUAAAAAUGACGCGUGAAAAGUCGAACGCGUUUGAAAAUAUUUUAACAAUUUAAAUUCUUUUUUAGACGCCGUUGAAAAUGCUAAAAUGACGAAAAUAUAUUAAAAAAAUAUUUUUUGGAUUUUCUUUGUUUUUCUCAAUUUUUUUGGAUUUUUUGAAAAUAUAUCAAAAACAUCGGUCAAAAAUUGGGUAGCAACACCCAUCAUGGUCCAAUAUCGUGAAUAUGUUUCGAUCUUGUUCAUUUUCUGGCUCAGCGUUUCUCUUCCUAGCUCUUUUGCAGAGAAUGUAUAAAGCUCCAAACACUAAAAGCAAGCUUCCUAAAAGAGGGAGUACAAUCAAAAUCACAAGCUUGUUGCUCUUUCUCUUAACAGUUUUGCUGCUUUCUGGAAGAUUGCAUGGCUUGAGACCACUAGCGUUGCCACAUAUACCCAUAUUAUCCCUUAAUGCCUCAAAUGAAGCGUUGUGGAAGGCUUUGAUAUCGGGAAUGGGGCCUUGUAGCUUAUUGGAUGAUAUAUCCACAGUUGUUAAGCUUAACAUGUCUUUGAAAGUGCUCGGAAUCCGUCCAGAAAGCAUGUUGUGAGAGACAUUGAAAGUUUCCAACUUUUGCAGUUGCCCAAGUUGCCUUGGUAUCUUUCGAGUCAGGAAAUUGAAGCUAAGAUCAAGAUCUUGAAGAGAAAGUAGAAAGCCUAUCUCACCUGGAAUGCUUUCUCUAAAUUUAUUACCGCUGAGGUUUAGGAACAAUAAAUUCGAGCAUUCCCCAAGUUGUUUUGGAAUCAAUCCACUCAGAUUAUUAGAUGCUAAAUUAAGGAUUCGAAGAUUGAAAAGCAUCUUAAUAUCUAAGGGAAUGACACCUGAAAGAUGGUUGUUGUUAAGGAGAAGCUCAUACAACAACUUCAAACCCCCUAAAUCUUUUGGGAUGGCUCCUUUUAACUGAUUUGAUGACAGAUCAAUCAAGUGUAAUUGAGUAGCCUUCCCAAGCUCUGAUGUUAUCUCACCAGAAACAUUAUUGUUUGAGAUUUUAAGGCUUGUCAUGUUACGACAAUCUCCCCAUUUUGAAGAAAGCUCACCAUAAAAAUUAUUGUAACUCAAAUCAAUAUAAUCUAGAUGUGGAUAGACACCAAAAGCCUUAGAAAUAUUUUCUGUUAAUUGAUUCCAAUCAAGUCUUACUCGGUAUAAACCAGUACAGUUUUUCAAACUUUUCGGGAUUGAACCUGAGAAGUAGUUGUAGGAAGCAGUAAAGAUUUUCAAUACUCCUUCAUGGCAUAAAUCUAGUGGCAAAUCACCCGUGAAUUCGUUGGCACCCAAAGACAAUAACUUCAAAUGGGUGAGAUUGUUCAUCUCUGAGGGCAAUGGGCCGUGAAAUCUGUUCUCAUGUAAUGUCAAGUUCACAAGUGAUUUAAGUUGUCCUAUUUCUGAAGGAACACAUCCAGAUAAAUUAUUUUGACUUAGACUAAGCAAAGUUAAAUUUCUUAAUUUUCCAAUAGAAGAAGGGAUUCUACCAGUUAAAACAUUAAUUGACAAGCCAAGUUCAUUAAGAGACUCUAGCAACCCAAUUUCCUGAGGAAUGGGACCAGAGAGUUUGUUAUCCCAAAGAUAGAGUAUGGAUAGGCUUGUCAAGUUUCCAAUAAAAAAGGGGAUCAAAUCAGUGAGAUUAUUUUGCUGUAAUGAUAUUUUAAUGAGCAUGGUCAAGUUCCCAAUAGAAAAAGGAAUGGAACCAGAGAGUUUGUUAUCCCAAAUAUAAAGCUCAGAUAGGCUUGUCAAGUUUUCAAUAGAAGAAGGGAUGGGACUAGAGAGUUGGUUCCUAGAAAGACCAAGGUGAGACAAAUUUCUUAAUUUUCCAAUGGAAUAAGGGAUUCUACCGGUUAAAACAUUAAUUGACAAGUCAAGUUCAUUGAGAGACUCUAGCAAUCCAAUUUCUUGAGGAAUGGAACCAGAGAGUUUGUUACCCCAAAGAUAGAGUAUGGAUAGGCUUGUCAAGUUUCCAAUAGAAGAAGGGAUUGGACCAUAGAGUUGGUUCAUAAAAAGAUCAAGGAUAGAUAAUUUUCUUAAUUUUCCAAUUUCAUGUGGGAUGGUUCCAGAAAGAGAAUUGUUGUGAAGGUCAAGACAAAAAAGAUUACGGAAGGCCGAGAAGUUGAAAUCAUGAAGCGUACCUCUCAAGCCAAAACUUUCAAGUGUCAAAUUGGUGAUGCUUCCAGAAUUGUCACAGGUGAUUCCAAUCCAGUUAAUGCAAGGGCUGAUGCCGACCCAAGAAGAAAGAAGAGAUUGGCUUUGGUUGUCAAGACAGGCUUUCCAUUGGAGAAGAGCCUCAGCUUCUGUAUUAUUAUUACCAAAUGGUGAAGUUGUGGAGGAAGUGUGUUCAGCUAAAGCAAAGAAGGAAGAAGAGCUGAAUAUCUGAAGGAGCAAAAACAGGAUGUGGAGAAAGAAGGAGAAGAAUGGUUUGUUUAGUAAGGACGUCGUCAUGGUGUGUUUUUCAAGAGACGUAGGAUAUGGUUUGCUAUGGUACUAGAUUAGGCUCUUCCAUGGAGUGGUAUUUAUAGGCAGGAAAACAUGAUAUAUUGGAAUUGUUUUUAAUAUCAUUGAUUAUUACAUCUCUUCUCUAAUUAAGUUGAAAUUAACUACUUAGAUACAUACUCUGUAAAAUUUAUCAGUACGAAGAAGAAAUUGAGAAGACUAUAGAUCAGUACACUUGAAGUAACAACCACGGGAACAGAAAAAUGAAGUUCCUAUCAAUCCAUUUUUCUGAAGUUCCUAUCAAUCCACGUCAACCGAUUAUAAUUUUAUUUUAAAAAAAAAACAUUUAAACUAUUCUAUCCUUUUAGUAUCUUAAAUAAAAAUACUAAUUAUUUUUUUAUAAUUUUUUUUUAUUUUUAAUAAAAAAAUAUUUAAAUUACACUUGAAGUAUUCUAAAUAUUUUUUUAUAAAUGUUUUCUAUUUUUUAUAAAAAAGUUUAAACUAUCCUUAAACUAUCCUAAACAUAAAUUCUAAUUAAUUUUUUUAUACUUUCAAACUCAUCACAGUUGUAGAUCCCAAAUGGCUCGUGGAACUUGCUCCCAGAUUCUUUAAAGUGGGAGCGUCAAGAACGCGUUGAACCUCUCUAUGAUAGAUAUCACGAACCUAAUUCAUGGCGGUUGAGUAAACGGCGAGCUUGAUGUGUUUUCAGUUAUUUUUAUCAACAAGUUUUCAGUCUUAAUUAAUCUUUUCUUGCUACAAAACGUAGCUGUACAUAUUCUGUCUUGAAUCUUGAUUAUGUAUUGAGGAAAUCUAGACACAUGUAUAUCCCUGGAAGAUAACAAGCGAGGUCCUCUGGUCUUCUUGACAUGAAUUUGUUCAUAACUUUUGCUGCUAAUAACAAUCAUUUGGAUCAAUUUAAGGUUGGUGGAAAUUAACUAGUUUAUCGGGUAAAAUCACUUGGAAUGUCCAGCCGGAGAACAUUUAGGGUCGAGGGAUAGGUACACCUCCAAGUGCCUUCUGAGUCCAGCGAUUAGUGCCUGGGCCCUCUCUAUAUAUACUUUCUUUGCUCCAAAUAUAGUAUUACUGGAUAUAAUGUUAUCGUGUUCUUGGGGUUUGAAUUUUCUAAUGGAAAUUCAUUUCAUUAGAAAAUUCAACAUCAAGUUGGAAAUUCAUUGGUUGGUAGAGUGGGUCGGAGGGAGAUGGCAGAGGAUUCUGGACCCGGUGGUACCUCAAGCUCUGCAGGGGAGGAUGAGGCACGGGCUUCCAUGAGCUCAUGUCCACAGAAACACUACGUGCAAAUUGCUCUACGAGAAAGUCUUUGGCAAAAUCUAUACAAGUGGUCUCCAUAUGAUAUGGACAUUUCACGAAUGAGAGAUGGCAUGAGAAUAAGGUUUCUUGAAGGCAUAUAUCUUUGACAAUUCUGUUUAAAGAAGAAGUUUUUGUUCAGCAGAGACAUUGGAAUGGGAGAUUGCAAACCAGAGCUAGUUGUAAUGAAGAUUAUUGGGAUGUGUUUCUAUACAAAACGGAAAAAGAAGAAAUAUUGACGAUCCAGUUCUUUGAACAGAAGUAGACAAAGAAAGAUGGUGCAAAGAUUGAAUGGGGUGUCUAAUAUCUGCCAUUGGAGACUAAAGGAGAAGAGGACCUAGCUAUUCUUAGCUUUGUCCAGUUAUUUUUGUGUAACCUACACAGCGAGUAUACAUAAUGGCUAAAUGAACUAAUUUACAACGAAUUCCUCGUUAAAUUACUCUAGAACUGACAGAGGGCUAAAAAAUGGCAUUCUUCAUAUAUACACCAAUAAAAAAAAUAAAAAUCAUAGACGACUAUGCAACCUCUGGUUAGACAAUCUAUGACGGACCGGGGAGACGCUCUCCCCUUUGGAGAUGAAACAACAGCUGCCUGUGGAAGUGAUGACAUAGCCAGAAGAUUGCCUAACUGCAAUUCCAUUCUGAGGUUUGGUGUUCAAAGAAAAGAAUGAUUAUCACACGGAAAUUCCUGCUGUAUUUUCCUUCAGUCUCCUCUCAGCUGCUAGAGCAGCAGCCACGGACGGGGGCAGAUGUCUUAGGUUUUCAGUUGGCUUU